AUGAAUGGCCUCUGGGCCUUCAAUCUUGUAAACCAGUGGAAGCAAUGCGUGCUUCGACGCCUCGGCGUCGCUUUUAUGCUACAAUCGGUUAUUUGUGUCUGAAUCAAUCAUAAGAAAAUA
This 120-nucleotide unclassified non-coding RNA is filed under the name uncultured Archaeorhizomyces. RNAcentral's name for it is "sequence contains ITS1". The record is from RNAcentral. Lineage: Eukaryota; Fungi; Ascomycota; Archaeorhizomycetes; Archaeorhizomycetales; Archaeorhizomycetaceae.